RNAcentral lists this long non-coding RNA (1081 nucleotides) under Salmo salar (Atlantic salmon). RNAcentral's name for it is "lncRNA (ENSSSAG00000109794.1)". Lineage: Eukaryota; Metazoa; Chordata; Actinopteri; Salmoniformes; Salmonidae. The record is from RNAcentral.
GCCGAUCAGAGGACCAUUGAAUGAGGCGCGUGCACGAUUCGCCCCCGUGGAGAAAUUUCAUUCGGCUGUUUAGCUUAUUGCAGAUUCCCGGUCGGAAUAUUAUCGCUUUUCUACGAGAUAAAUGGCAUAAAAAUUGGUUUUAAACAGCGGUUGACAUGCUUCGAAGUACGGUAAUGGAAUAUUUAGAAUUUUUUGUCACGCCAUGCACCAUGCGCACGACCGUUAUUUACCAUUCGUAUAGUGUCUAGAACGCACGAACAAAACAGAGGAUAUUUGGAUAUAACGAUGGAUUAUUUGGGACCAAACCUACAUUUGUUAUUGAUGUAGAAGUCCUGGGAGUGCAUUCUGACGAAGAACAGGAAAGUUUCCAAAAGGAUGUUUCUGUAUGCAGUGCUGCUGCUCUGCACAUUUUUAGCCAGGUCCGAUCUACUUUUUAACUCCUUGCAAGUGUGGCUUGUUUGGUGUCUGCUGUGAAGGAAUACCACAAGUCAACUACUUGAUUCAUGAAGUUAUGUCAUCCAGCAAAGGCAGCAGCGCAGUCACCAACUACAUGCACCAUUUCUUCACAACUACGGAGUUGGAGAAACACGUGUGGACCUGAAUUGUGAUAACUGCAGUGUCUGGUAUUGUGCCUGGCAGACCAUGCACAUGCUACACCACAGUCUGAACCUUCACUUCCUGAUCACAGGCCACACCAAGUUUGCCCCCAACUGGUGCUUCUGCCUCAUCCAGCAGCGCUUAAGAAAGACCAGAGUGAAUACUUUGUCUGAGAUUGCUGGUGUUGUGAAGGACAGCACUGUGACGGGUCAAUAUCCCACAGCUGGUUGGACUGGAGGAUGGUACGGUGCUGGUGGAAAGCUAUGGCUGGCAACAACACCUAACUCCAUACUUCAGGCCGCUCCCACAGUUCAAGCAGUACCGGCACUUCAGCUUCGAUGCUCUGGAGCCUGGUGUUGUUGUCGCCAAGGAGCGUUCGGACUGUCGGGACCAGGUUUCAGCUGCUGUGCAACGCUGACAUCCUUCCUCCCAUGGUCUGCCUGUACAAGCACCACCUGGACUGGACACAGCUAGACAAAUGUAU